This 342-nucleotide long non-coding RNA is filed under the name Calidris pygmaea (Spoon-billed sandpiper). RNAcentral's name for it is "lncRNA (ENSCPGG00000001887.1)". The record is from RNAcentral. Lineage: Eukaryota; Metazoa; Chordata; Aves; Charadriiformes; Scolopacidae.
GGCCUUCCCCCCAAGCAGUAUCGUGAUGUCACCCAGCUGAAAAAAAGUGAUACACGUAUCAAUGAUGAACUGCUUCAUAAACCAUCAAACAGUUUGGCUAAACCACUGUGCCUGCCAUUUCCCAUCUGUCAUCCCUACCAGACACACAUCUCUAGGUACGCCACGUUCCCAAACUUCAGAUCGCCUGAGGAUCGAGACACUGGGACUGAUGCAAGCAGUCAUCAGCCUUUUCACCCCAAUAUCCCCACCAAGCCUUUUGAUGUGGUUGUUCUGGGAAAGACCAGAGGUAAUACAGUACUCUGCUGGUUUAUUAUUUAUUCUUGAAACUUACUUAGAAACACU